RNAcentral lists this long non-coding RNA (485 nucleotides) under Equus caballus (horse). Its description in RNAcentral is "lncRNA (ENSECAG00000047083.1)". The record is from RNAcentral. Lineage: Eukaryota; Metazoa; Chordata; Mammalia; Perissodactyla; Equidae.
AUUUUUCCAUCUUUCUCAGCAGCCAAAGUUCUGUAAAGUGUCCACGAAACAGCAGCAGAAAAUGAGGAGACAAAGAGGCAAAGGGCUCCACAAAUCCUCUGUGGACCGCUGCGUAAGCUCGGACCGCGCAUCGGGAAAAUGUGGCGUUUAAUUGGAAGCAUGCACACACUGAAUGCUUUUGCCAGCUGGGAAACUGAAACUUUGCAAGUCCUUCCAGUCACUGAAUCCUGGAACCUCUGAUGCUACUGAAAUUGCCAGUGGGGCACAUUUCCACCUUGUGGGGGCAAGAAUCUACUAGUUUCCUGGGGAGGAAAAAACUGAGAUAUGUGGAGAUUAAGUAACUUGCCCGAAGGCAUUCAAUCAAGCAGGUGAUCGCCGCAGCUGGACAAAUGGCAAAGCAGGGAUGAAGCACAGUGGCCUCCCCUCUGCUCUUCACCCAAAGGGCAGAGAACCAAGGCGAGAUGUUAAAACCUGUGAGCGUAUCC